UUGUCUUCUCAGCUUUUUGGCUAAGAUCAAGUGUAGUAUCUGUUCUUAUCAGUUUAAUAUCUGAUACGUCCCCUAUCUGGGGACCAUAUAUUAAAUUGAUUUUUGAAAAUGUUAUAGGCAGAGUGGUGGCUCUGAGGCUAGGGAUCUGCACUGGCAAUCGGAAUCCCGU
RNAcentral lists this small nuclear RNA (169 nucleotides) under Erpetoichthys calabaricus (reedfish). RNAcentral's name for it is "U2 spliceosomal RNA (ENSECRG00000001063.1)". It matches the Rfam family "U2 spliceosomal RNA". From Rfam's summary of the family: U2 is a small nuclear RNA (snRNA) component of the spliceosome (involved in pre-mRNA splicing). Lineage: Eukaryota; Metazoa; Chordata; Cladistia; Polypteriformes; Polypteridae. The record is from Rfam by way of RNAcentral.